UACGUAGGGUGCAAGCGUUAAUCGGAAUUACUGGGCGUAAAGCGUGCGCAGGCGGUUGGAUAAGCCAGAUGUGAAAUCCCCGAGCUCAACUUGGGAACUGCAUUUGGAACUGUCCGACUGGAGUAUGUCAGAGGGGGGUAGAAUUCCACGUGUAGCAGUGAAAUGCGUAGAGAUGUGGAGGAAUACCGAUGGCGAAGGCAGCCCCCUGGGACUGUACUGACGCUCAUGCACGAAAGCGUGGGGAGCAAACAGG
RNAcentral lists this ribosomal RNA (253 nucleotides) under uncultured bacterium. RNAcentral's name for it is "partial 16S ribosomal RNA". It matches the Rfam family "Bacterial small subunit ribosomal RNA", at positions 524 to 776 of the family's 1533-position model. The record is from RNAcentral.